AAACCGUUACCAUUACUGACUU
RNAcentral lists this microRNA (22 nucleotides) under Chrysemys picta bellii (western painted turtle). Its description in RNAcentral is "Cpi-Mir-451_5p (mature (guide))". The record is from RNAcentral. RNAcentral also lists the same sequence under 1 other name. Lineage: Eukaryota; Metazoa; Chordata; Testudines; Emydidae.